UCUGUCUAUUUCUCCUGCAGAGUGAGCUGGACUUGGAAAAGGGCUUGGAGAUGAGAAAAUGGGUCCUGUCGGGAAUCCUGGCUAGCGAGGAGACUUACCUGAGCCACCUGGAGGCACUGCUGCUGCCAUGAAGCCUUUGAAAGCCGCUGCCACCACCUCUCAGCCGGUGCUGACGAGUCAGCAGAUCGAGACCAUCUUCUUCAAAGUGCCUGAGCUCUACGAGAUCCCAGCUUCAUGGUGGAGCUGGUGGAGGGGGCCCGCAAGCUGCGCCACGUCUUCCUGUUCACCGACCUGCUUCUCUGCACCAAGCUCAAGAAGCAGAGCGGAGGAAAACGCAGCAGUAUGACUGCAAAUGGUACAUUCCGCUCACGGAUCUCAGCUUCCAGAUGGUGGAUGAACUGGAGGCA
Molecule: long non-coding RNA, 407 nt
Filed under: Homo sapiens (human)
Lineage: Eukaryota; Metazoa; Chordata; Mammalia; Primates; Hominidae
Description: long non-coding RNA NONHSAT083866.2
Source: RNAcentral